CGUAAAGCGUGCGUAGGCGGCUUCUUAAGUCGGAUGUGAAAUCCCUGAGCUUAACUUAGGAAUUGCAUUCGAUACUGGGAAGCUAGAGUAUGGGAGAGGAUGGUAGAAUUCCAGGUGUAGCGGUGAAAUGCGUAGAGAUCUGGAGGAAUACCGAUGGCGAAGGCAGCCAUCUGGCCUAAUACUGACGCUGAGGUACGAAAGCAUGGGGAGCAAACAGGAUUAGAUACCCUGGUAGUCCAUGCCGUAAACGAUGUCUACUAGCCGUUGGGGCCUUUGAGGCUUUAGUGGCGCAGCUAACGCGAUAGGUAGACCGCCUGGGGAGUACGGUCGCAAGACUAAAACUCAAAUGAAUUGACGGGGGCCCGCACAAGCGGUGGAGCAUGUGGUUUAAUUCGAUGCAACGCGAAGAACCUUACCUGGUCUUGACAUAGUAAGAACUUUCCAGAGAUGGAUUGGUGCCUUCGGGAACUUACAUACAGGUGCUGCAUGGCUGUCGUCAGCUCGUGUCGUGAGAUGUUGGGUUAAGUCCCGCAACGAGCGCAACCCUUUUCCUUAUUUGCCAGCGGGUUAAGCCGGGAACUUUAAGGAUACUGCCAGUGACAAACUGGAGGAAGGCGGGGACGACGUCAAGUCAUCAUGGCCCUUACGACCAGGGCUACACACGUGCUACAAUGGUCGGUACAAAGGGUUGCUACCUAGCGAUAGGAUGCUAAUCUCAAAAAGCCGAUCGUAGUCCGGAUUGGAGUCUGCAACUCGACUCCAUGAAGUCGGAAUCGCUAGUAAUC
Molecule: ribosomal RNA, 785 nt
Filed under: uncultured Acinetobacter sp.
Lineage: Bacteria; Pseudomonadati; Pseudomonadota; Gammaproteobacteria; Moraxellales; Moraxellaceae
Description: bacterial SSU rRNA
Rfam family: Bacterial small subunit ribosomal RNA
Source: RNAcentral